This 253-nucleotide ribosomal RNA is filed under the name uncultured bacterium. Its description in RNAcentral is "partial 16S ribosomal RNA". It matches the Rfam family "Bacterial small subunit ribosomal RNA", at positions 524 to 776 of the family's 1533-position model. The record is from RNAcentral.
UACAGAGGGUGCAAGCGUUGUUCGGAAUUAUUGGGCGUAAAGGGCGCGUAGGCGGUGCCACAAGUCACCUGUGAAAUCUCCGGGCUUAACUCGGAGACUGCAGGCGAAACUGUGGUGCUGGAGUGUGGGAGAGGUGCGUGGAAUUCCCGGUGUAGCGGUGAAAUGCGUAGAUAUCAGGAGGAACACCGGUGGUGUAGACGGCUUUCUGGACCGUAACUGACGCUGAGACACGAAAGCGUGGGUAGCAAACAGG